This is a long non-coding RNA of Malaclemys terrapin pileata, 4149 nucleotides long. RefSeq lists it as uncharacterized. NCBI's taxonomy places the organism in Eukaryota, Metazoa, Chordata, Testudines, Emydidae. The transcript has 4 exons. The record is from RefSeq and is a predicted model, not a curated record.
CUAAAAUUCCGGGAGUGGCAAAGAGAUGGACACCGAGUUAGUUGCCUGUGUCAAGUGACUUCAGAUUUCUGAGACAGGUGACAGAGGGACAUUCUAGAGGACAGAGGAGAUCUCCAAGGACAGCCGAUGUCGCAAGAGAGGAGAAUAGUGACAGUGGUUCCAAAGAAUAAAGUUGUAUAUACUCUGAAGAUCCUCAAUAAUUGCACUGCAGUAUGAGCAAGAGAGAGAACAAGUGGCACACCCAAUGUGAGCUAGCAGGAAUAACGGUAGAUUUCAUGGUCGUGACAUCACCACCAGAACAUAUAUAGCUUUGGCACAAGGCGGGAAUCUUUUGUCUCUCUGGGUCCUCACCCCUCCUUCUAAAUGGAAAAGCACCAGGUUUAAGAUGGAUUCCAGUACCAGGUGACAUGAUCACAUGUCCUGUGAGACCUCAAGCCUUCAUUCUUCCUGGCCUGACUCACAGGAAGGCUUGCAAGUAAACAGAGCCAUUUACAACCAAUUGUCCUAGUUGAUGGGAGCCAUCAAGAUUCCAAGACACCAUUAAUGGCCCACUGUAACGAGGUGGUGGGAUACCCCACAGCCCCACUGAGGGCCAAACCUCCCCUAAUACCGACAUGGGCGGAGCCACCGGGUCCGGCGCCCGCCCGUCAGAGGUCACGGUGCCGACCCGGAAGUAUAAAAGCCCACUCGCAGAGCUCAGUGGAGCCCAUGCCGGCGGAGAGGGCAGACGUCUCUGGCCGAGCUCCCGCUUGGGAGACGGCUGCAGGCCGCGACUGGCCUGCUGACUUACCAGGCCUGCCGAGCCUACCUCUCGCCCGCUACCCUGAGGAGGACUGGCCAAGCCUGCCCCGUCCCAGCUACCGUGAGGAGGAGCCGAGCCUGCCCUUCGCCCGGUACCCUGAGGAGCCGAUGCUGGUGGAGAGCACCGAGGACACUAGGACAGCCCAGGUACCAUACGAGGGGGAGUGUGGAAGUAGCCCCGGGCCAGCCGACCCCAGUCUGGCUGCUGCAUUGCCAGAGCCGAUGUCAGUGUGUUGCGGCCAGGAUCCCCACUGACAGCAGUGGGUUUCCGCCGCUGCUAGGGCCCCGGGCUGGGACGCAAUGGAGUCGGAGGGCCUGCAUCCCCCCUGCCACCCACUCCUUGGGUGGCAGACUCCCCCUUUUCCCCUGGCCUAGGGAGGCUGGGACCUGCUAUAAACCCUGACCCAGCCCCUGCUUAAAGGCCUGGAUUUCUGCCUGACUGCUUGAUUGUUGCCCCGCCCUGACCUAAGGCCUGGGCAGCUAUAGACAUUGCCUCAGCCCCUGCUUAAGGGCCUGGGUUUUCCGAGCUACUGACUCAGCCCCUGCUUGAGCGCCGGAGCCCCAGACUGCGUGAUUACUGCCCCGCCCUGAUUGAGGGCUCGGGGCUCUUUUCGGAACUAUUGGCUCAGCCCCUGUUUACGGGCCUGAGCCCCCUAACCGUGUGUCCGUUAUCCCAGACUGACGCCGGGCCAGGACUGCCGGCGGACUACAGCGAGGCGGCGGGAUACCCCACAGCCCCGCUGAGGGCCGAACCUCGGCCGAGACUACUACACCCACACUUUGCAUAAUUACAAUAGGUCAUCAGAGUUAUAUGUCAUAUUUCUAGUUUCAGAUACAAGAAUGAUACAUUUAUACAAAUAGGAUGACCACACUCAGUAGAUUAUAAGCUUUGUAAUGAUACCUUACAAGAGAUCUUUUGCAUGAAGCAUAUUCCAGUUGCAUUAUAUUCACACUCAUUAGCAUAUUUUCUUAAAAUCAUAUGGAGUGCAACGUCACACUUGUGUCUUAUUGGCUUCAAUGGGCUUUAACCAGGUGCUUAAAGCUAAGUAUGUGCUUUACUGAAUAGGAAUGGGGUUAUUCACAUGCUUAAAUCUAAUCACAUACUUAAGGAUUUUACUGAAUAAGGUUAGGAUUACUCACAUGCUGAAAGUUGAGCAUAUUUUCCUGUGAAUAAAAUAUGCUGAAUUGAGGCUAUGAACAUUUUGUUUUGCUCACAAAAAUCUAUAUGUGAGACUCUUUUUACAUUUCAGCAUCACAUAAGAUAGUGUGACAGUGUUCAAUGUAUUAUUUACCAGUCUUGGUUGCUGUAAAGUUGGUUGAUGAUUCCUAUAAUAUUUACCAUAGCAAUGGAUUAUAUGGCAUCUUCAUAGCUUUUUCUAUAAAAAUAAAUCCUUCGUUUCACUCUGUUGAGGCCCAGCUGUGGGACAUAAUAUGGGAUGAAAACUCAUAUUGAAGGAUUCAAUUAAAAUAGUAGAUGAAGACUCUUGAAAUAAUUAAUAGCUUUGACAUAAGGGAUGCUUUAUAAAAGCACAUCAUUAUUCAGCAUUCUAAUUGUUGGUGGUUGAGAAUAAAAACAUGCUUAAGUCUGCAUGUGAGUACAAAGGAGAUAAAUUUGUGUCUAAAAUGAAGUACAUAGUCCUUAUCCACAAGUAUCUUUGUGACAAUUCAGAGUAAUGGAAUUUUAAUAUAUUGUGGGAAAAGAGUAGCAAGCCAUGUAUCUUUCACCAUUGUAGAGAGAGAGAUCUUAUUUCAUUAAAGAUAAAAGAUAGACAAGAAUGAUAAAAAUGGGGCAAAAUCUUGAAGUUAUUUCCCCUGUUAUUUCCCCAAACUUUAAAAUGCUUCUAUCUGGCAGCAUGGAAACAUCUGGUGGAUGACUUUCAUGAUUUCAAUAUGUUAUUAACAUGUACUGAUAAUGUGUACAGUUUGACUGCUAACAAACUUAGUCCAAACCUGCUAUGAAGAGAUUUAAGAUCCAGAUGCAGGAUCUGACUUUCCUUUAGGAACAAGAACAGAGGCGCUUUCAGAAAGACUAGGAGAUUUGAAAACAAACUUUUCAAGCCCAUGCUGAAUAUAUCAUUAUUUAUGCCAUGUCCUGUCAAAUUUUCUAUGGGACUUUUGGGAGUAAAAAAAAAAAAUGUGUGAAAGGUGAAUAUUAGAUAUAUUCCACAGCGUAAGGGGGGGAAAUCAUAUUUUUACCCCACUUAAGUUCUCGAGCAGAAGCUCUAACACUUGAUGAUGUGGCUGGUGGCAAAUACCUCUCUUGAAGAUUUUAUUUUGUAAAGAUUAAUUCAGAGACCAUCUGGUAGUCAGAUUGUCAGCCAGAGUGUGCGUUAUACUGGUCAGAUAUACUGCUGAUUGGAGUGCUCUGUUUGUGCCACAACAUUCCCACAGGUGACUUGUUACUGAAUAAAAUAUGGAAGCCUGGUAAUUUAUGCAAAAGAACACCACUGUGAUUGCCUGUGAGAAUGUGCAUCAACUUUCUUUUGAUCAGAAGAAGGGUCAGUCUUAUAGCCCAGAACUCUAAAGUAUGGGUGUGAGAUAUGGGUUCUUUUGGCUUUUGAUAUUGGGUUAUCAACUGAGCGUGCCUAUCAAAGCUGGAUGCUCUAAGUGUGAUAUCAAUCACCUUUUCUUUCACAUUGGCCAAUGUGACACUGUACAGAAUAUGUAAGCGCUUUAUAAUAUUAUCAAUAUUAAAAAAUUGCAAAGAAUCAUGCCAGAUAUACCAUCUAAGGUAUCUGUGAAAAAUGUUAUAAUUGGCCAAGUAUGCUAAUCUUGUUUGUAUCACCUUUUGUAUUAUGAGUUAUAUAUAUGCAUAGUAUAUCUAUAUUUCCAAACUUGGGCUGUGUUUCUUGGUGAUAUCCCCAGACAGAUUGGCAUCAGCACUGAGCCUGCUGGAUGGCCUAUCAAGAGUCACCAGCUGUACAAAGAACCCAUUAAAAGAAGCCAGGGGUUACACCUUAUCAGUCAUCAGGACUUGAAGGAGCAUGCCUCUGGACAGGGGACUCCAAGGUUUUUCCAUGCCAUGUGCUGUGAAGCUUGUGUUUGGGACACAGGAAGUACAAGCCACAUGGCAAAAGGAAUAUAAAGGGCACCUGCAUCAUUUCCAUUUUUUAUUCAUUCCUGUUUCUUACCUCUGGAGUGACUUUUCUACAAACAAAGCUCUGAACAAAGGACUGAAUGACCCAUCCAAGCUGUGGAUGUAUUCCAGAGAGAUUUUCAAGUCAGCAAACACACCAAUACUGCUAAGAACCUGAUAUACGGACUUUGAAGUCUCUGUAUGUAUCUGAGUGCUUUAUCAUUUAACAACUCUCUUCUAGUUCUUUCUUUUUUCUUUACAAUAAACCUUAA